RNAcentral lists this transfer RNA (69 nucleotides) under Marmota marmota marmota (Alpine marmot). It matches the Rfam family "tRNA". Rfam says of the family: Transfer RNA (tRNA) molecules are approximately 80 nucleotides in length. Their secondary structure includes four short double-helical elements and three loops (D, anti-codon, and T loops). Further hydrogen bonds mediate the characteristic L-shaped molecular structure. tRNAs have two regions of fundamental functional importance: the anti-codon, which is responsible for specific mRNA codon recognition, and the 3' end, to which the tRNAs corresponding amino acid is attached (by aminoacyl-tRNA synthetases). tRNAs cope with the degeneracy of the genetic code in two manners: having more than one tRNA (with a specific anti-codon) for a particular amino acid; and 'wobble' base-pairing, i.e. permitting non-standard base-pairing at the 3rd anti-codon position. The record is from Rfam by way of RNAcentral. Lineage: Eukaryota; Metazoa; Chordata; Mammalia; Rodentia; Sciuridae. RNAcentral also lists the same sequence under 1 other name.
GGUGUUCUGGCUCAGUGGUAGAGUGCUUGCCUAGCAUGUGUGAGGCACUGGGUUCGAUUCUCAGCACCA